UGGAGGCAGCAGUGGGGAAUCUUGCGCAAUGGGCGAAAGCCUGACGCAGCAACGCCGCGUGUGUGAUGAAGGUCUUCGGAUCGUAAAGCACUGUCGGGAGGGACGAAUAAGGCGCGGGCUAAUAUCCCGUGCCGAUGACGGUACCUCCAAAGGAAGCACCGGCUAACUCUGUGCCAGCAGCCGCGGUAAUACAGAGGGUGCGAGCGUUGUUCGGAAUUAUUGGGCGUAAAGCGCGUGUAGGCGGCCAGGCAAGUCGGGUGUGAAAGCCCUCGGCUUAACCGAGGAAGUGCGCCCGAAACUACCUGGCUUGAGUACCGGAGAGGGCGGCGGAAUUCCCGGUGUAGAGGUGAAAUUCGUAGAUAUCGGGAGGAACACCAGUGGCGAAGGCGGCCGCCUGGACGGAUACUGACGCUGAGACGCGAAAGCGUGGGGAGCAAACAGGCUUAGAUACCCUGGUAGA
This 460-nucleotide ribosomal RNA is filed under the name uncultured bacterium. Its description in RNAcentral is "bacterial SSU rRNA". It matches the Rfam family "Bacterial small subunit ribosomal RNA", at positions 343 to 794 of the family's 1533-position model. The record is from RNAcentral.